This 449-nucleotide ribosomal RNA is filed under the name uncultured bacterium. RNAcentral describes it as "partial 16S ribosomal RNA". It matches the Rfam family "Bacterial small subunit ribosomal RNA", at positions 29 to 523 of the family's 1533-position model. The record is from RNAcentral.
AACGAACGCUGGCGGCAGGCCUAACACAUGCAAGUCGAACGGGAUCUUCGGAUCUAGUGGCGGACGGGUGAGUAACGCGUGGGAACGUACCCUUUGGUUCGGAAUAGCCCUGGGAAACUGGGAGUAAUACCGGAUACGGUCGAGAGACGAAAGAUUUAUCGCCGAAGGAUCGGCCCGCGUUGGAUUAGGUAGUUGGUGGGGUAAUGGCCUACCAAGCCGACGAUCCAUAGCUGGUUUGAGAGGAUGAUCAGCCACACUGGGACUGAGACACGGCCCAGACUCCUACGGGAGGCAGCAGUGGGGAAUCUUAGACAAUGGGGGAAACCCUGAUCUAGCCAUGCCGCGUGAGCGAUGAAGGCCUUAGGGUUGUAAAGCUCUUUCAGUGGGGAAGAUAAUGACGGUACCCACAGAAGAAGCCCCGGCUAACUCCGUGCCAGCCGCCGCAGUAA